AACGCGAAGAACCUUACCAGGUCUUGACAUCCCUCUGAAUCCUCUAGAGAUAGAGGCGACCUUCGGGACAGAGGAGACAGGUGGUGCAUGGUUGUCGUCAGCUCGUGUCGUGAGAUGUUGGGUUAAGUCCCGCAACGAGCGCAACCCUUGAUCUUAGUUGCCAGCAUGUUAUGGUGGGCACUCUAGGAUGACUGCCGGUGACAAACCGGAGGAAGGUGGGGAUGACGUCAAAUCAUCAUGCCCCUUAUGACCUGGGCUACACACGUACUACAAUGGUCGGUACAACGGGAAGCGAAGCCGCGAGGUGGAGCCAAUCCUUAUAAGCCGAUCUCAGUUCGGAUUGCAGGCUGCAACUCGCCUGCAUGAAGUCGGAAUUGCUAGUAAUCGCGGAUCAGCAUGCCGCGGUGAAUACGUUCCCGGGCCUUGUACACACCGACGCAC
RNAcentral lists this ribosomal RNA (441 nucleotides) under uncultured bacterium. RNAcentral's name for it is "bacterial SSU rRNA". It matches the Rfam family "Bacterial small subunit ribosomal RNA", at positions 958 to 1398 of the family's 1533-position model. The record is from RNAcentral.